CUGAAUAGGGCGCAUAAGUAACAGGUCGUAGACCCGAAACCAGGUGAUCUACCCAUGUCCAGGAUGAAGGUAAGGUAAUACUUACUGGAGGUCCGAACCCACGCACGUUGAAAAGUGCGGGGAUGAGGUGUGGGUAGCGGAGAAAUUCCAAUCGAACUUGGAGAUAGCUGGUUCUCUCCGAAAUAGCUUUAGGGCUAGCCUCGAGGUAAAGAGUCAUGGAGGUAGAGCACUGUUUGGACUAGGGGCCCUUCUCGGGUUACCGAAUUCAGAUAAACUCCGAAUGCCAUGUACUUAUACUCGGGAGUCAGACUGCGAGUGAUAAGAUCCGUAGUCGAAAGGGAAACAGCCCAGACCACCAGUUAAGGUCCCC
RNAcentral lists this ribosomal RNA (370 nucleotides) under Listeria monocytogenes. RNAcentral describes it as "partial 23S ribosomal RNA". It matches the Rfam family "Bacterial large subunit ribosomal RNA", at positions 683 to 1049 of the family's 2925-position model. The record is from RNAcentral. Lineage: Bacteria; Bacillati; Bacillota; Bacilli; Caryophanales; Listeriaceae.